Molecule: transfer RNA, 526 nt
Filed under: uncultured Prochlorococcus sp.
Lineage: Bacteria; Bacillati; Cyanobacteriota; Cyanophyceae; Synechococcales; Prochlorococcaceae
Description: partial 16S-23S ribosomal RNA intergenic spacer
Rfam family: tRNA (bases 210-282)
Source: RNAcentral
CAGGGAGACAACAAAAUGUUAAAUAUUAAUUUUGUCACCUUAGGUCGAUCGGUAUCUCACAUUCUUAAUUUAUUAAGAAUUUUAUUUCCUAAGUUUUUUCUAGGUCACACCCAUUAUUUUCCUGGGCCAUUAGCUCAGGUGGUUAGAGCGCACCCCUGAUAAGGGUGAGGUCCCUGGUUCAAGUCCAGGAUGGCCCAUAUCUCUAUGUUGGGGGUAUAGCUCAGUUGGUAGAGCGCCUGCUUUGCAAGCAGGAUGUCAGCGGUUCGAGUCCGCUUACCUCCACUGAUUACCACCUCUUCCAUAAUUUAUAGAAAGGAAAUUUUUUGAGUUGUGAUCAAAUUCUGAACGAAUCUAGCUUCCUAAUAAUUAAAUUAAGAUGCUGGACUCAUUGAAUUAAUUUUCAUUGUUUUCAGAGAACCUUGACAACUGCAUAGAUUAUUUUAAAGACAAUAAGCAUCUUUAAUGAUGCAGAUUUAUUAUUUGUGCGAAUGCAUCAAAUAACAAUUCUAUUAAGCUGAUGCUUCAA